This 386-nucleotide ribosomal RNA is filed under the name uncultured bacterium. RNAcentral describes it as "bacterial SSU rRNA". It matches the Rfam family "Bacterial small subunit ribosomal RNA", at positions 30 to 416 of the family's 1533-position model. The record is from RNAcentral.
AUUGAACGCUGGCGGCAUGCCUUACACAUGCAAGUCGAACGGCAGCACGGGGGCAACCCUGGUGGCGAGUGGCGAACGGGUGAGUAAUACAUCGGAAUGUACCCAGUAGUGGGGGAUAACUAGUCGAAAGAUUAGCUAAUACCGCAUACGCACUAUGGUGGAAAGCGGGGGAUCGCAAGACCUCGCGCUAUUGGAGCAGCCGAUGUCCGAUUAGGUAGUUGGUGGGGUAAAAGCCUACCAAGCCUGCGAUCGGUAACUGGUCUGAGAGGACGACCAGUCACACUGGGACUGAGACACGGCCCAGACUCCUACGGGAGGCAGCAGUGGGGAAUUUUGGACAAUGGGGAAAACCCUGAUCCAGCAAUGCCGCGUGUGUGACGAAGGCC